UAUGGCCUAAUUGAAGUUGUU
Molecule: non-coding RNA, 21 nt
Filed under: Mus musculus (house mouse)
Lineage: Eukaryota; Metazoa; Chordata; Mammalia; Rodentia; Muridae
Source: RNAcentral